GAUGAACGCUGGCGGCGUGCCUAAUACAUGCAAGUCGAACGCUGGAAAUCUAGCUUGCUAGAUUGAAGGAGUGGCGAACGGGUGAGUAAUACAUAAGCAACCUACCCACGAAGACUGGGAUAAUCUCUGGAAACGGGGACUAAUACCGGAUAGGUAAUCGGAAGGCAUCUUCUGAUUAUUAAAGGUUAAAAACACUGGUGGAUGGGCUUAUGGCGCAUUAGUUAGUUGGUGAGGUAACGGCCCACCAAGACGAUGAUGCGUAGCCGGCCUGAGAGGGUGAACGGCCACAUUGGGACUGAGACACGGCCCAGACGCCUACGGGAGGCAGCAGUAGGGAAUUUUCGGCAAUGGGGGAAACCCUGACCGAGCAACGCCGCGUGAGUGAUGACGGCCUUCGGGUGGUAAAGCUCUGUUGUAAGGGAAGAACGGUAGAUAGAGAAUAUCUAAAUGACGGUACCUUACCAGAAAGCCACGGCUAACUACGU
RNAcentral lists this ribosomal RNA (485 nucleotides) under uncultured bacterium. Its description in RNAcentral is "partial 16S ribosomal RNA". It matches the Rfam family "Bacterial small subunit ribosomal RNA", at positions 28 to 506 of the family's 1533-position model. The record is from RNAcentral.